Sorex araneus (European shrew) is the source of this 344-nucleotide long non-coding RNA. RefSeq lists it as uncharacterized. The record is from RefSeq and is a predicted model, not a curated record. NCBI's taxonomy places the organism in Eukaryota, Metazoa, Chordata, Mammalia, Eulipotyphla, Soricidae. The transcript is spliced from 3 exons.
CUCAGGGCUGCGGAGCAGGCUGGGUCCGGAAGGGCGGGUCGAGGGAGCGUCACAGACCUUUGCCGGAAGACCAGUCUUUAGGAUUUUGACCUAAUUCAAGUCAUCAACUGCUUUAGAAUUUCUCUCUUAAGCCAAAGAAACAAAAACUGCAGUCAGAGCUGUUUCUAGCCCCGUUGGAGGAGAAUACAGACAGCAAAAAUCCACAAAGCCAGGAAAAUGGGCUUUCCAAAUACCAGAGCAUGUCUCAGAGCAAUUGGAACAUAAGCAUACCAAGUAAAUAAUAAUCCAAUUAACUGUGACAAAAUUCCAGAGAAGAUUCCUUUCCUUUGUGAGAAGACCCAUGU